AGAAAAUGAACAAUCUUGCUGGAUUUCUCAAGGACAAAUCGAGCGUUGCGUCUCUCAACUUGGAUACUGUUCAGAUUUCGUCGCUUGCGUAUGACAAACAGACUUCUACCGUUUAUGUCGGAUCUCAGCACGGGACUAUAUUCAUGUGCAACUUUCUCACAGACCCAGAUCAGAAAAAUGUUCAGAUAAGUAGUCUUUUUAAUUUUAAGAGAAAAGUAAGUGAGCAUUCGUGUGUUUUCCGAAGCUUUUCUGACACUUUUUGUUACUUACGAAUGUGUUUUUUGUUUGGUUUUAAAUGGGAAAAAUCGGUAUAUGAUCUAUCGAGGAAACAAGCUAUUUUGAAAAUAAAAUUCAUGUUUGGAUUGCACGCACAAAUUAUUUCAAAAUUUGAUAUUUUGUGUCUGCGUUUUUUUUAAAUUGUAGUUAGUCGGCUUCUGCGGUAAUCGGGAACUUUCCGCAAUAUCGCCAAUUUGCUGGGUUCCUAUUUUUGGCAAGCGGCAACUGCCGCACACCCCGCUUUCCAAUUGACAGAAACAUAUAUACAAAUUGAACUAAACUGCUUUUCAGAACUUUGCUGCCCACAAGUCUGCUGUCACAACAAUGCGAACAAUAGAUCAACAGACCGAACCAUCAAGAAAUGGAAGAACGGAGUUUGUCUGAAGACAUACACUGGAUCUACCAAAGGGAUUUGCUGUGGUUUGGUGUUGCGGAAUGAAUUGAUUAUGUGUUCCCCAUCGGACGGUGUAAAACGGUGCUGGGAUACAACCAAGGAUGCACCAAUCAAGUUCCUAAAUGGUAGAAAAACAAUUGGAGAACAAGAGGAGACAAAUUGGAAAAAUAUCAGCUGUCGGACACUAUCAAAGUUGUUCCUCAACUUGACUCUGAAAACGUUGCCUUCUUGAACCGUGACCAUCAGUUUGAGCAAUUCUUCAAAGGAUCUCACAAUACAAUCCAGUCACCAUCGACGAAUGUUUCAAAAAUGGAGUUUUUAUGAUGGACGGACAAAAACCCGUUCGCAUACGAAACCGGACAAAACACCUUACGCGUUGCUGAAUUUGUUGGGUCGCAUAUUGUAACUCCUUCCAAUUUGACAACAAGAAUAUAUUGGAAAACUACGAAGGUUGGCAUUUCGUAUUGGACAGAACACAUUUGAAGUAAAAUAUGGUGAAACAUCGGUAACGUAUUAUCAGGAACGACAAGUUCAUGAAUGCUGGUCUUUGGGAAGAUGUUAUUUAGAAAAACAUGUUUGAUGAAGUGCCAAUCGUUACACAACACGAUCUACAAAGUAUUCAGCACGAAAAAUCAAUGAUGUUCAAAAUCAAAAUUGGAGCUGGAUUGCCACCAGAUGACGGGAUUGUUCCGAUUCUCCCGACAUUCCGAAUUCCCCUCGUGCUUCUAUAUGAUUAAGUGUGUAAACUGAUUUAUAUAAAUUUUUUGAGAAGAUAUUUUAUUGCUCAGAAUAAACCUUUUAAAGUUUUGGGUAAA
Caenorhabditis elegans is the source of this 1485-nucleotide long non-coding RNA. Ensembl annotates it as ncRNA. Its record names the gene T09F5.12. The record is from Ensembl. NCBI's taxonomy places the organism in Eukaryota, Metazoa, Nematoda, Chromadorea, Rhabditida, Rhabditidae.